RNAcentral lists this ribosomal RNA (355 nucleotides) under uncultured bacterium. RNAcentral describes it as "bacterial SSU rRNA". It matches the Rfam family "Bacterial small subunit ribosomal RNA", at positions 775 to 1128 of the family's 1533-position model. The record is from RNAcentral.
GGAUUAGAUACCCCGGUAGUCCACGCUGUAAACGAUGAAUGCUAGGCAUGCGCGAGUAUCGACCCUCGUACGUGCCGCAGCUAACGCGAUAAGCAUUCCGCCUGGGGAGUACGGUCGCAAGACUAAAACUCAAAGGAAUUGACGGGGACCCGCACAAGCGGUGGAGCAUGUGGUUUAAUUCGACGAUAAGCGAGGAACCUUACCAGGGCUUGACAUGUAUCUUCAAGCGCACGGAAGCGUGUGAUCUUCGAGAGUGAUACACAGGUGCUGCACGGUUGUCGUCAGCUCGUGUCGUGAGAUGUUCCCUUAAGUGGGAGAACGAGCGCAACCCUCAUGUUAUGUUGAUUUUCAUAAC